GGCGGACGGGUGAGUAACACGUAGGCAACCUGCCUGUAAGACUGGGAUAACUCCGGGAAACCGGGGCUAAUACCGGAUUAUUCUUUGCCUCGCAUGAGGGAAAGAUGAAAGAUGGUUUCGGCUGUCACUUACAGAUGGGCCCGCGGCGCAUAAGCUAGUUGGAGAGGUAACGGCUCACCAAGGCAACGAUGCCUAGCCGACCUGAGAGGGUGAUCGGCCACAAUGGGACUGAGACACGGCCCAGACUCCUACGGGAGGCAGCAGUAGGGAAUCUUCCGCAAUGGACGAAAGUCUGACGGAGCAACGCCGCGUGAGUGAUGAAGGUUUUCGGAUCGUAAAGCUCUGUUGUUAGGGAAGAACAAGUGCCGGAGUAACUGCCGGUACAUUGACGGUACCUAACCAGAAAGCCACGGCUAACUACGUGCCAGCAGCCGCGGUAAUACGUCGGUGGCAAGCGUUGUCCGGAAUUUUUGGGCGUAAAGGGCGCGCAGGCGGAUUCUUAAGUCUGAUGUGAAAGCCCCCGGCUCAACCGGGGAGGGUCUUUGGAAACUGGGGAACUUGAGUGCAGAAGAGGAGAGUGGAAUUCCACGUGUAGCGGUGAAAUGCGUAGAUAUGUGGAGGAACACCAGUGGCGAAGGCGACUCU
Molecule: ribosomal RNA, 645 nt
Filed under: uncultured bacterium
Lineage: Bacteria
Description: bacterial SSU rRNA
Rfam family: Bacterial small subunit ribosomal RNA
Source: RNAcentral